GUCCAAGCGAGUUAGCCCGCAGUGCGAAGCCGCCGAAUACGAAGAUCUGUCCGGGGAGGAAAACCUCCCCCUGGACUGCAUUAUUGUAGAUGAUUGACGGAGCCAUCAAACCUUUUGGUGACGAUGCAACAGAACUCUCAAUGAAAGCACCAAUGUCGGUGUCAAAACCGGCGGAUCUCGGGUAGGGGUCCCGAACUGUGCGUCUAAGGUUGAUGGUAACAGGAGGCGGGGGACACGAUGUUUACCCAGGUUCGGGCCCUCUUUAUGGAGGUAAUACCCUACUUCCUGCUUGAUUGAUCUUGAUGAAUAUGAGUAUUACAAGAGUUGAUCUACCACGAGAUCAUAAUGGCUAGAACCCUAGAAGUCUAGCUUGUAUGAUUUUGAUUGCCUCUACGGAAUAAGCCCUCCGGUUUAUAUAGACAUCGGAGGUGACUAGGAUUGUACAAAAUUGGUUACAGAGAAAGGAAUCUUCAUACCGGGCGCCAAGCUUGCCUUCCACGCCAAGGAGAGUCCCAUCCGGACAAGGGAGAGAGUCUUCUGUCUUGUAUCUUCAUGGCCCAACAGUCCGGCCCACGCUACAUAGUCCCGCUGUCCGAGGACCCCUUAAUCAAGGACUCCCUCAGCGUGCGCCAACUGCGGCUGGCAACCGGAUCCGAGUUCCUUCGGCCAUGAGAGCCGACUGUCGGGGACCGAGAGGUCGCACCAUGCUCUCGGCGAGGGUGACGGUUCUCAUCUUGCAUGCCGGUUCCAACGCGCGGCAACCGGCUUCCUGCUGCGUGGCAGCCGCAUCGAGGAGCCUAUGAAGGUGCUCCGUCAUGCAGCGCUUCUCAUCGCCCUCCAGGUUGUCCAGCUCGUCUGCUGCCGCCUGAGCAGCGCGCAGGUUCUCGAUGGGGGUAGCAUAGACCAGACAGACAGCUCCCAACAUGCCGGUGAUGGCGGCGCUGCAUUGUCAGAUUGCGCCCAGCUGGCUGGGCUCUCCAGAAGCCGGAGUGCUGCCUACGGCGCAGUCAAUCUCAUGCUAGUAGGCGUCAUUAAGGCGCCUCGUGGCAGCCAACUGGUUGGCGCUAUCAAGGAGCGAGAGGCGGUGUGCCUCUAGCAUCGCACUAUCCGCAUCAUCCCCAACCGGAGUGGCGAGGGCUCACAGGGCGGCCCGGAUCGGGUCCCGGUCCGCUCCGGCAGAGGUUCCAUCCUGACUGAUGACCAACACCUAUGUGACGGUGCUGGCGCCGGUGAUGCUGUCUACGCGAGGGAGCGGGUCGUCGAUGAUCUCUACGUGGUCGGGGUAGGCAUCAACAUCUACCGCGUCAGAGUCGAUGAUCAUCUCGACGGGCGGAUCGGUGGAGCCGACGGACUCCAGGUCGGAGGCGAGCUCGUUGGCGAUGUGGAGCUUGCCGAGGAGGUCGACGAGGCAGCUCUCAGAGCUUGUCGGUGAGGUGUACUCCGCCGACGAGAUCGUCAAGGGAGCUCGCAGCGCAGGCGGCCUCCACGCCCUGCAAAGCAUCGGCGCAAGCGCCAUCGGGCGAGCUAGGCUGGCUGCGCUCACGGGGAAGGAAACGGGUUCCCGUCCAGAAUGUGUCUCCGGCCAACGGUGUGCCUUGCCCCACGGUGGGCGCCAAAUGUCAUGGUAUUUCCUCGACAUAUGCCAACGGGUGGCUAAUCAUGUAUGGGGUCAAUAGAACAUUGUCAGGCUCUAAAAACGGGAGUAGGCAAGACUUCAAACAACAUCGGGUCUUACCCAGGUUCGGGGUUCUCCGUGGAUAUAACACCCCUAAUCCUGCUCUGCGGGGUGUCCGCAUCACUAUGAUCAAAUAGCGGGCUACAAGGUGCUCCUUGAGCUGUUUCGGCUAGAGGAGGAAGAAGGCAAGCUUGCUCUACUCCUCCUUACCUAUGUGGGUGGAAUAGUGAACUAGGGGUUGAACCCUUUGCAUGGGUGACCCUGGGGGGCUUAUAUAGGCCUACCCCCAGGGGUACAAUGGUAAUCCGGCUGGUCGUAGGACCCGCCCGUCAAUGUCUAUGGGCUCCGGCUUCUCUGCCGAUAGCUGGGGUCCGCCGCCUGGUGGGCCCUGCCAACUGUCACGGUCUCGGCCGACAGGUAGGGCCCGCCGCCUGUGGGCCAGGAGGACUAGGUCGCACUGUAGCCUUGCCUCUGAUGACGGUAGCUUGGUCGGGGGGGAGGGGGGUGUAUGGCUACAAUACCGCCGCCUGGAGGGCGAUCACUAUAGCCACACCGUCACUUCUAGUUAAUGGCGCAUGGACUCCAAGGGGAGGGACGGCCGCCUGCUUAGGCCUUGCCGCCUUCUGGUGAUACACAGGCAGGUGGGGCCCGCCACCGGCAGGCCACACCUACCGUCCGUCGUGGGGGCAUGGCCCUCCCCGACGUAGGGACCAUCAUGGGCCGCGUGGCUACAGUGUCUUGUCAGGUGAGGGAUGUCCGCCUGGUAUACCCACACUAUGGCCACGUUCUGUCCGGGAUUCGAGGGUGGCAGGUGGCACUGUUGCCAUGCCCUGACUUGUCGUAGCAGGUGGGUGCAGACUUUGAGGAGGCAAAGGGCUGCCUGGUAGGGAUCGGCCCGUGCCCUCGGUGCAUACUGGGAUGCGUCGCCUUCUAGGAGGCGGCCCGUUGGCGCCAGCCGGCCACGGGGGCCGGCCUUGCGACCAAUCAUACUGAGGGGUUAGGCUAGCCCUGAUGUCUCGAAAUCUGCUGGGAUGUGGAUGAGGCUACCCAUGGUUUAUCCCCCCGUCAACCCCCCUACCGGAUGCAGCUUUGCUAGACGUUGGAUUCUGCAACUUCCACCGGCGCCGCCCAUCAUAGCAUGCCAUCGCCGCCGCUGUCGACCUGCACCUCCUGACUCCAGCAGAAAAGCACAUCUGAGCCCAAAAAAGAACUCUGGUGGUUAGUUGCAGCAAAACCAAAAAUUGGUUCCAGCAAAAAAACAAAGGUUUGCAGCAAAAUCGACUUGAGCACCUAGCAAAACCAGUAAAUUGCUUGAAGCAAAAAAAUUCAUGAUUCCAGGAAAAAUUAAUAUGGUUCCAGCAAAAAUGCGUCGCCGCCGCCUGAUCGUAGCAAAUAUCUCAAGCAAGAAACUCGUCGCAGCAAAAUCAUUUGUCGGUUCCAGCAAAAAAGGACCUGGUUCUAGCAAAGAAGAGGAAUUAAGCUGAAAAGUUGGAACCAAUGAUUCGAAAAGCUGGAACCGGUGAUUGGAAAAGAUUAAAUCAGCUGAAAAAAGCUAGAACCAUUGAUUUUGAAUUGAUACUAGAAAUCCAAAAAAGCUACAACCAGCUGAAUAAGAAGCUACAACCGGUGAUUUGGUAAGCUGGAACCGAUGACUUAAAAAAAUGCAAAAGAAAAACAUAUAUUUGGACCCAAGCUGGAUAUAAAUGUGAUUUAAGAAAGAUUCAACCGUUAAGAAGAAAGCUGCUACCAGCGAUUCAAAAAGCUACAACCAUGUGGGCAAAUCAAAGAUAGAAGAAAUCUUCCACUGAUGACAUGGGAAUAUUUAACUGAAGCCCGGGAUCGCCGGAGUUGCACGGACAUGGAAUGGUAGCUGAGCCGACUUGCAGCCCGCAGCAAAAAGUCUCCACUGCUACCGCGGGUGCAGCAUCACCGGAGAGCGUCCAGUGGAUCUCCAGCCCCCUCGAGUUGCCUGAUCUAGCUACACGCAGUGGUCGUUGAUGUGUGGAAAGAGAGAACAGAUCGAGGAGAUGUGUGGAAAGAGAGAACAUAUCAAGGAGGAAGCAACACAACUACAUAGGGCAAGAUAAAUGAAUGGAAGCAAAGCAUCCGCGAAUGGAUAAGGCGAGG
Molecule: ribosomal RNA, 3802 nt
Filed under: Triticum aestivum (bread wheat)
Lineage: Eukaryota; Viridiplantae; Streptophyta; Magnoliopsida; Poales; Poaceae
Description: partial small subunit ribosomal RNA
Source: RNAcentral